CUUUUGAUGUCUACAAAGAAGAGUUCAUUUGGUAUUUAUAGCCAAAUAAAUCAAUGAUAAGUUACAACAAUAACUAUAAUUGUAACUCCCACAAUAAUUAGACUAAUUAUGUUUGUAACUCCAAUAAUAAUUAGGCUAAUUAUAGGCAUGUAAUUGUUAUGUAACUCCUUGUAACUCCAAUCUUCUUAACCAACAUCACUAAUUGUUUAUGGCACCAUAUAGUUAUGGGCUCAUUCUUGUAAUAACACUAAGACAAGACUUAAACC
Molecule: long non-coding RNA, 266 nt
Filed under: Carica papaya (papaya)
Lineage: Eukaryota; Viridiplantae; Streptophyta; Magnoliopsida; Brassicales; Caricaceae
Description: long non-coding RNA (CPAP_LNC009520)
Source: RNAcentral